AGUUGGUUCUUGUAAGGAUCCCUGGCACUUCGUCCCCCUAUUGAACGCCGAUCUAGCUUGUGAAUCG
This 67-nucleotide small RNA is filed under the name Sinorhizobium meliloti 2011. RNAcentral describes it as "putative ncRNA". Lineage: Bacteria; Pseudomonadati; Pseudomonadota; Alphaproteobacteria; Hyphomicrobiales; Rhizobiaceae. The record is from RNAcentral.